GCGCGGCCCGCUGGAGAGAGCGCGGCACAUCGGAGUAGGCUAGAAGAUCCCAAAAUCCUUGAGGAAAAAGCAAUCCACAAAAUAUCAAUCAAACAAGUGAGAAGGCUGUGUGGUAUUAACACAUAUACCGAAUGCAAAUUCCACCUUACUUAGGGCAUCUGCAAAGAGCCACUGGAAGCACCUGUUCAAAAGCAGACAUACCGUAUUUUGUUGGAAAGACAUCCUCAUCUGUCACUAGUUUCUGCACUGAGCUCAUGACAAAGUCAACAUACUGAGGAGCAGUGCACUUGAUCUUCUUUCCCCGCUCAUCAUACCAGUAGUACUGUCUGUGGAGAGAAUUGACAGUGUCACCACAUCAUACCUCGGCUCCUCAGCAAAACUCCUUUAAGAGAUUAGUACUGCACUGAACUGGAUAGAUGUACAUAUGUCACUUGGAAAGUGAAGUUUUAGGUAUACUGGCCACCAGAAGUGUCUUGAAGCCACUAAAAAAAAGUGUUACAUGGUGACUGUAAAGUUU
Long non-coding RNA from Pezoporus occidentalis (night parrot), 517 nucleotides. RefSeq lists it as uncharacterized. The transcript has 3 exons. The record is from RefSeq and is a predicted model, not a curated record. NCBI's taxonomy places the organism in Eukaryota, Metazoa, Chordata, Aves, Psittaciformes, Psittacidae.